GUGCUCACUUUAGCAACACAUAUACUAAAACUGGAAGUAUACAGAGAAGAUUAACAUGGCCCCUGAGCAAGGAUGACAUGUAUAUUCAUGAAGCAUCCCAUAUUUUU
Molecule: small nuclear RNA, 107 nt
Organism: Meriones unguiculatus (Mongolian gerbil)
Lineage: Eukaryota; Metazoa; Chordata; Mammalia; Rodentia; Muridae
Source: Ensembl